Molecule: ribosomal RNA, 328 nt
Filed under: uncultured eukaryote
Lineage: Eukaryota
Description: partial 18S ribosomal RNA
Rfam family: Eukaryotic small subunit ribosomal RNA
Source: RNAcentral
CCCUUAGAUGUCCUGGGCCGCACGCGCGUUACACUGAUGCAUUCAACGAGCUUAUAACCUUGGCCGAGAGGCCUGGGCAAUCUUGUUAACGUGCAUCGUGAUAGGGAUAGAUUAUUGAAAUUAUUAAUCUUGAACGAGGAAUUCCUAGUAAACGCAGAUCAUCAAUCUGCAUUGAUUACGUCCCUGCCCUUUGUACACACCGCCCGUCGCACCUACCGAUUGGAUGGUCCGGUGAAGCCUCGGGAUUAUGGUUCUUGCCGCUUUAUUGUAGCGUGACCGCGAGAACUUGUCUAAACCUUAUCAUCUAGAGGAAGGUGAAGUCGUAACA